RNAcentral lists this ribosomal RNA (431 nucleotides) under uncultured fungus. Its description in RNAcentral is "eukaryotic LSU rRNA". It matches the Rfam family "Eukaryotic large subunit ribosomal RNA", at positions 1 to 418 of the family's 3401-position model. Lineage: Eukaryota; Fungi. The record is from RNAcentral.
UUGACCUCGGAUCAGGCAGGGAUACCCGCUGAACUUAAGCAUAUCAAUAAGCGGAGGAAAUAGAAACCAACAGGGAUUAGCCUCAGUAACGGCGAGUGAAGCGGCAACAGCUCCAAAUUUGAAAGUCUGGCUCUUUCAGGGUCCGAGUUGUAAUUUGUAUGAGGAUGCUUCGGCGUGGGCUCCGGUCUAAGUUCCUUGGAACAGGACGUCAUAGAGGGUGAGAAUCCCGUAUGUGAUCGGCUCUGCCUUUCUCCAUGUGAAGCCUCCCUUCGACGAGUCGAGUCGUUUGGGAAUGCAGCUCUAAAUGGGAGGUAAAUUUCUUCUAAAGCUAAAUACUGGCCAGAGACCGAUAGCGCACGAGUAGAGUGAUCGAAAGAUGAAAAGCACUUUGGAAAGAGAGUCAAAAAGUACGUGAGAUUGUUGAAAGGGAA